UUGCUUCAGCAGCACAUAUACUAACAUCGGAACAGUACAGAGAAGAUCAGCAAGAAUGAUACGCAAAUUCCUGAAGCACUCUAUAUUAAA
RNAcentral lists this small nuclear RNA (90 nucleotides) under Nannospalax galili (Upper Galilee mountains blind mole rat). Lineage: Eukaryota; Metazoa; Chordata; Mammalia; Rodentia; Spalacidae. The record is from RNAcentral.